This 697-nucleotide ribosomal RNA is filed under the name uncultured organism. Its description in RNAcentral is "bacterial SSU rRNA". It matches the Rfam family "Bacterial small subunit ribosomal RNA", at positions 96 to 824 of the family's 1533-position model. The record is from RNAcentral.
UGGCAGACGGCUGAGUAACACAUGGGAAUCUACCUCAAACUCGAGAAUAGCCCAUCGAAAGGUGGUGUAAUACUCGAUAGUUCCGUUUACGGUAAAGCUCCGGCGGUUUGAGAUGAGCCCAUGUCCUAUCAGGUUGUUGGUGGGGUAAUUGCCUACCAAGCCUAUGACGGGUAGCUGGUUUGAGAGGAUGAUCAGCCAGACUGGGACUGCGAUACGGCCCAGACUCCUACGGGAGGCAGCAACUAGGAAUCAUGCGCAAUGGACGAAAGUCUGACGCUGCGACGUCGCGUGAGGGAUGAAGGUCUUCGGAUCGUAAACCUCUUUUAUCUGGGAACAAGUUCUGAGUGUACCAGAUGAAUAAGUGCCUGCCAACCACGUGCCAGAAGCAUCGGUAAUGCGUGGGGCACGAGCGUUAUCCGGAUUUACUGGGCGUAAAGAGAUGCGUAGGCGCCUUUUUAAGUCACUUGUAAAAUCUCCCCGCUCAACGGGGAAACUGCAAGUGAUACUGAAUUGGUUGAGUCAAGUAGAGGAGAGGGGAAUUCCUGGUGGAGCGGUUAAAUGCGUUGAUAUCAGGAGGAAUACCAAGUGCGAAGGCACCUCUCUGGACUUGUACUGACGCUAAGGCUCGAAAGUGUGGGGAGCAAAACGGAUUAGAUACCCGUGUAGUCCACACUGUAAACGAUCCCUGCUAGAUGUU